Molecule: ribosomal RNA, 253 nt
Filed under: uncultured bacterium
Lineage: Bacteria
Description: partial 16S ribosomal RNA
Rfam family: Bacterial small subunit ribosomal RNA
Source: RNAcentral
GACGAACCGUGCGAACGUUGUUCGGAUUCACUGGGCUUAAAGGGCGCGUAGGCGGAUGGUCAAGUCGGGGGUGAAAUCUUUCAGCUUAACUGGAAAAGUGCCUCCGAUACUGAUCGUCUCGAGGGAGGUAGGGGCAUGUGGAACUUCCGGUGGAGCGGUGAAAUGCGUAGAGAUCCGGAGGAACACCGACGGCGUAAGCAGCGCCCUAAACGAGUACUGACGCUCAGGCACGAAAGCUGGGGGAGCAAACAGG